CAGCAGCCGCGGUAAAACGAAGGGUGCAAGCGUUACUCGGAAUUACUGGGCGUAAAGCGUGCGUAGGUGGUUGUUUAAGUCUGCUGUGAAAGCCCUGGGCUCAACCUGGGAAUUGCAGUGGAUACUGGGCAACUAGAGUAAGGUAGAGGAUAGUGGAAUUUCCGGUGUAGCAGUGAAAUGCGUAGAGAUCGGAAGGAACAUCUGUGGCGAAGGCGACUAUCUGGGCCAUUACUGACACUGAGGCACGAAAGCGUGGGGAGCAAACAGGAUUAGAUACCCGUGUAGUCCCUGUCUCUUAUAU
Molecule: ribosomal RNA, 301 nt
Filed under: uncultured bacterium
Lineage: Bacteria
Description: partial 16S ribosomal RNA
Rfam family: Bacterial small subunit ribosomal RNA
Source: RNAcentral